Molecule: long non-coding RNA, 560 nt
Organism: Canis lupus familiaris (dog)
Lineage: Eukaryota; Metazoa; Chordata; Mammalia; Carnivora; Canidae
Exons: 3
Source: RefSeq, a predicted model, not a curated record
UGGGAUCCAUUUUACAGCUGGGCACGGCUUGUGUGCUUAAUAUUUGUAUUCUUUACUGCUUUCAUCUGAGAACGGGUAAUCAACCAUCUCCUGGGAGAGGUGCAACAUUAUAAUCAGGGACAGGAAAGUGUUUUGAAAUGAUGAAAUACCUAAAAAUUUUGUGCAUCGACGUUUUCCUUUUGGUCACCUGCCUUCAGAACUCUGAGCCAAGCAAGAGAAGUGAAAAUAUGUAUUCAUGGCGGAGCUAGUGUACAACUUCAAAGAAAGAAGAAUGGCUGCUGUGUAAAAUACUGGAGAAAUACUCUCUGCCACCCAUCUUCCCUCCUACAGGAUAGCCAGGCCAGUGUUUCCAAAACAUCUUUCAAUUCUGAAUCUUGCUCAAAAUGUCCUAAAGUUUUUCUUUUGUCUCUUGCCUAGCAAUCAGGCUGUCCAGCCCACUCUCAAUGAUUCCUCUUACCAAAAGCACCGCAAUAACAAGGCCAAACUAGUCCACCUCUAUACUUUUCUCAUCCUGCUACAACUGCUUAAGUAACUUUUAUUUAAAUCCUAAUCACCUCUCA